AGGAUUAACGCUGGCGGCGUGCCUGACACAUGCAAGUCGAACGAGGCCGCAAGGCCGAGUGGCGGACGGGUGAGUAACACGUGACCAACCAACCUCGAAGUUGGGAAUAGCUCUGCGAAAGUAGGGGUAAUACCGAAUGUGGCCCAGGGCGGGCAUCCGCCUUGGUCUAAAGAUUCAUCGCUUCGAGACGGGGUCGCGGCCUAUUAGCUUGUUGGUGAGGUAAUAGCUCACCAAGGCAUCGACGGGUAGCUGGUCUGAGAGGACGAUCAGCCACACUGGGACUGAGACACGGCCCAGACUCCUACGGGAGGCAGCAGUGGGGAAUCUUGCGCAAUGGGCGAAAGCCUGACGCAGCAACGCCGCGUGGAGGACGAAUGCUUUCUGAGUUGUAAACUCCUUUCAGCAGGGACGAUUGUGACGGUACCUGCAGAAGAAGCACCGGCCAACUACGUGCCAGCAGCCGCGGU
RNAcentral lists this ribosomal RNA (467 nucleotides) under uncultured bacterium. RNAcentral describes it as "SSU rRNA". It matches the Rfam family "Bacterial small subunit ribosomal RNA", at positions 26 to 521 of the family's 1533-position model. The record is from RNAcentral.